GACGAACGCUGGCGGCGCGCUUAACACAUGCAAGUCGAGCGAGAACCAGGGCUUCGGCCCUGGGGACAGCGGCGAACGGGUGAGUAACACGUGGGUAAUCUGCCCUCGGCACCGGAAUAGCCCGGGGAAACCCGGAUUAAUGCCGGAUGGCCCCUUCACCUCGCGAGGUGUCGGGAAAAGGUAGCUUCGGCCUCUGGCCGAGGAUGAGCCCGCGGCGGAGUAGCUUGUUGGCGGGGUAACGGCCCACCAAGGCGAAGAUCCGUAGCUGGUCUGAGAGGACGAUCAGCCACACUGGUACUGAGACACGGCCCAGACUCCUACGGGGGGCAGCAGUGGGGAAUCUUGCGCAAUGGGCGAAAGCCUGACGCAGCGACGCCGCGUGAGGGAAGAAGGCCUUCGGGUUGUAAGCCUCUUUCAGGAGGGACGAAGCUACUCGGGUGAAUAGCCCAGAGGGUGACGGUACCGUAAGAAUAAGGAUCGGCUAACUCCGUGCCAGCCGCCGCCGUAA
RNAcentral lists this ribosomal RNA (508 nucleotides) under uncultured bacterium. RNAcentral's name for it is "partial 16S ribosomal RNA". It matches the Rfam family "Bacterial small subunit ribosomal RNA", at positions 28 to 523 of the family's 1533-position model. The record is from RNAcentral.